Molecule: ribosomal RNA, 593 nt
Filed under: uncultured bacterium
Lineage: Bacteria
Description: bacterial SSU rRNA
Rfam family: Bacterial small subunit ribosomal RNA
Source: RNAcentral
AUUCCUACGGGAGGCAGCAGUAGGGAAUCUUCCGCAAUGGACGAAAGUCUGACGGAGCAACGCCGCGUGAGUGAAGAAGGUUUUCGAAUCGUAAAACCCUGUUGUUAAAGAAGAACAAGGAUGAGAGUAACUGCUCAUCCCCUGACGGUAUUUAACCAGAAAGCCACGGCUAACUACGUGCCAGCAGCUGCGGUAAUACGUAGGUGGCAAGCGUUGUCCGGAUUUAUUGGGCGUAAAGCGAGCGCAGGCGGUUCUUUAAGUCUGAUGUGAAAGCCCCCGGCUCAACCGGGGAGGGUCAUUGGAAACUGGAGAACUUGAGUGCAGAAGAGGAGAGUGGAAUUCCACGUGUAGCGGUGAAAUGCGUAGAUAUGUGGAGGAACACCAGUGGCGAAGGCGACUCUCUGGUCUGUAACUGACGCUGAGGCUCGAAAGCGUGGGAAGAAAACAGGAUUAGAUACCCUGGUAGUCCACGCCGUAAACGAUGAGUGCUAAGUGUUGGAGGGUUUCCGCCCUUCAGUGCUGCAGCUAACGCAUUAAGCACUCCGCCUGGGGAGUACGGCCGCAAGGCUGAAACUCAAAGGAAUUGACGGAAU